Octopus sinensis (East Asian common octopus) is the source of this 182-nucleotide long non-coding RNA. RefSeq lists it as uncharacterized. Lineage: Eukaryota; Metazoa; Mollusca; Cephalopoda; Octopoda; Octopodidae. The transcript has 3 exons. The record is from RefSeq and is a predicted model, not a curated record.
AUAUAUAUAUAUAUACAUAUAUAUAUGUAUAUAUAUAUAUAGGUUAUGAGAGCUAAUGGUGUCAGUGAGGCCCAAAGGUGUCAGGUAAUGCUGAGUAAAUGCUAUGGAUAGACCAUACUUAAGCUCCAGAUUCGGUGAUUAUGUGAAUAAGGAGUUCAACGUAGGUCAUAUAUCAGCAAGUA